This 293-nucleotide ribosomal RNA is filed under the name uncultured bacterium. Its description in RNAcentral is "partial 16S ribosomal RNA". It matches the Rfam family "Bacterial small subunit ribosomal RNA", at positions 505 to 796 of the family's 1533-position model. The record is from RNAcentral.
GUGCCAGCAGCCGCGGUAAAACGUAGGAGGCGAGCGUUAUCCGGAUUUACUGGGUGUAAAGCGCGAGCAGGCGGUCUUGUAAGUGGUGUGUGAAAGCGCUCUGGCUCAACCGGGCGAGGACAUGCCAGACUGCGAGACUGGAGGCAGGUAGAGGCGAGUGGAAUUCCGGGUGUAGUGGUGAAAUGCGUAGAGAUCCGGAGGAACACCAGUGGCGAAGGCGACUCGCUGGGCCUGACCUGACGCUCAGACGCGAAAGCAUGGGGAGCGAACGGGAUUAGAUACCCCUGUAGUCC